Molecule: unclassified non-coding RNA, 618 nt
Filed under: Hevea brasiliensis (rubber tree)
Lineage: Eukaryota; Viridiplantae; Streptophyta; Magnoliopsida; Malpighiales; Euphorbiaceae
Source: RNAcentral
CCGGUAUAUUACUACAAUUCUCCACCCCCACCAUCACCAUCACCUCCUCCACCAUCACCACCGCCUACUCCAGUAUAUGAAGGGCCAUUGCCACCAGUAAUAGGAGUUCAAUAUGCUUCACCACCUCCACCACCCUUUUAUUAAUUCUUUCAAAAAAUUCCACUAACUUAUCCUCAAAAGCACAAAAUCAUCCCUACAAUUAUUAUUUCCUCUACUCUUCAAGCCAUCAACAAAAUCGAGCUAAUAUAGGAUCACAAACCUUAAAUGGUACGACAGAAAGAACGAUUAGACUGUGGAGAGGAGGUAAAGAGGAGAAAGAUUCAAUCUUUAAAGAUUGUAUUUUUGAAUUGUUAUGAAAUAGAUUGAAGUUGUGGAGAGAAUAAAUUGGCAAAGUAAAGAUUGAAACUUUGCAAGAAAAUGUAUGUAUAGAGAUCAUAAUCUGGGCUUAAAUCCAGUUUACAGUGCUUGCUGAUCUGGUUUUUUUCUUAUUUUGUGAGUUUUUAUUGUUAGAUUUUAGUUUCAUCAUACUUUGUAUCUUUAUUUUUUUGGGUUUUUUUUCUUCUUCUCAAACUAUAGUAUAAUGAUGAGCAUUUUCUGUUUUACUUGUAUUGAUUCUCA